AUUGAACGCUGGCGGCAGGCCUAACACAUGCAAGUCGAGCGAGUGGCGGACGGGUGAGUAAUGUAUGGGGAUCUGCCCGAUGGAGGGGGAUAACUCCUGGAAACGGUCGCUAAUACCGCAUACUAUCGUAUGACCCCAUAUGUGAUUAGCUAGUUGGUGGGGUAAAGGCGCACCUAGUCGACGAUCUCUAGCUGGUCUGAGAGGAUGAGCAGCAAAACUGGGACUGAGACACGGCCCAGACUCCUACGGGAGGCAGCAGGGGGGAAUAUUGCACAAUGGGGGCAAGCCUGAUGCAGCCAUGCCGCGUGUAUGAAGAAGGCCUUAGGGUUGUAAAGUACUUUCAGCGAGGAGGCGUUACUCGCAGAAGAAGCACCGGCUAACUCCGUGCCAGCCGCCGCGGUAAUUC
Molecule: ribosomal RNA, 406 nt
Filed under: uncultured bacterium
Lineage: Bacteria
Description: partial 16S ribosomal RNA
Rfam family: Bacterial small subunit ribosomal RNA
Source: RNAcentral